Molecule: ribosomal RNA, 464 nt
Filed under: uncultured Alphaproteobacteria bacterium
Lineage: Bacteria; Pseudomonadati; Pseudomonadota; Alphaproteobacteria
Description: bacterial SSU rRNA
Rfam family: Bacterial small subunit ribosomal RNA
Source: RNAcentral
GAGUUUGAUCAUGGCUCAGAACGAACGCUGGCGGCAGGCCUAACACAUGCAAGUCGAGCGCCCCGCAAGGGGAGCGGCGGACGGGUGAGUAACGCGUGGGAAUCUUCCCCGAGGUACGGAACAACUGAGGGAAACUUCAGCUAAUACCGUAUGAUGUCGAGAGACCAAAGAUUCAUCGCCUUGGGAUGAGCCCGCGUCAGAUUAGGUAGUUGGUGGGGUAACGGCCUACCAAGCCUGCGAUCUGUAGCUGGUCUGAGAGGACGAUCAGCCACACUGGGACUGAGACACGGCCCAGACUCCUACGGGAGGCAGCAGUGGGGAAUCUUGCGCAAUGGGCGAAAGCCUGACGCAGCCAUGCCGCGUGAGUGAAGAAGGUCUUAGGAUUGUAAAGCUCUUUCGCCCGUGACGAUGAUGACGGUAACGGGAGAAGAAGCCCCGGCUAACUUCGUGCCAGCCGCCGCAGU